This is a long non-coding RNA of Gallus gallus (chicken), 1665 nucleotides long. Lineage: Eukaryota; Metazoa; Chordata; Aves; Galliformes; Phasianidae. The record is from Ensembl.
GAAGAAGAUAAUUUUUUUUUUUUUCCUGGGGCAAUUCCUAAUCUCUAAAGUGAAAUGUCAAAAUUCUUUCUUGCCAUGGGAUUCAAGCUCAUACAUCAUUUUGAGUACUGCUUAUAUUCCUGUCUAUAUCACCACCAUCACCAUAGCAGCUGCACAUUGUGUCUCCUGGCUUAAUAAUUCUCUCAGAACCAACAGACCACAGGGAGACACUACUAUCCUCACAGCUCUGGAAAUUGAGGCAGGGAGCAAGUAUGUGAAUUUUUAACUUCAUCUAGAGCUUUGCUGACAGCACUAGGUGACAAGCUGGUUCUUGCGAGACUGUGAUCCACAGCUCUGUCAAAAAAAUCCCCUUCUCUGCUCUGUUUUGAGUAAGGCUGGGUACUGACAAGGAGGCUUUUGUUGUUGAGGAGUUGGCUGUUGGUCUGAGCUCUCACACUCUUGUUAGGGAGGCCACGAGGGGAGAGCAGAGUGCCGAUCCCAGCAGGAACACAUGUCCUAGGUUGGUCCGUCUGCAAAAUAAUUCUUCUGCAUGUCAUCUAGGCUGAGAGCCGAGCCUGGGAUCUGCUAUAUGGCUAAGUUCCCUCCCCACGGCAGCCAGAGCAAGCGUGGUGACAGUUCUGGGGAAGGUAAUUGAAAUGUUUUGGGAAGUUAUGGCAUGGGGAGUGACAUCUGUGGCAAUGGGCUCAUUAAGUGAAGGAUUUGGUGUAAUACAUAUUAUAACGAGGUCAUAUUCUCAGAAAACUAGAACUUGCCAGCAAAACAAACUAAAUCAGUCAGGGUUAUGAUUCGGUUUGCUUCCAAACUCAUCUUUAAUCUAAAUUCUUUUCAAGGUCAUCACAAAUGGGCUUGCAUGAAUCUUGGGGCCUAAUCCUCAUCUGGUACAAGCUGGAGUGAGUUCAUUAAACUCAAGGGAACCUAGCCAGUUUACAUCAAAUUGUGGUUAUUUUUAAGUCUUCUCCCCAGGCUGAACAAAUCCAGGUUACUCAGCCUUUCCUCAUAAGGGAGAUGCUCCAGACACAUUGAGUCACUUAUACUGUCAUAUGGGAAACCUGAAGGUAGAAAGGGCACUGAGGCCUCUGGGGAAUAUUUCCCAGCCCAUCUUCUGCCAAGAAGGGACAACCAGAAAUGUGUGGGGCUGAUCACAGUGCUCAACAGUGGUGGCAGCCAAAUGUGCCACCAGGAGAGAAACUGGAGAAGAAACCAGGGGAGAAGAGAGGAGACACCUCUCACUUGCAGUGCCCAAGACUCUUGUGCCCCAGCCCUGCUGUACCUCCUUCAGCAUCUGUGUGCUCUCACCAGCUUCUCACAGGCUCACCUCACUAACUGAAGAGGUGUGCCUCCCCUCAAAGAAAUGCAUCCCUCUCAGAUUACACAAGAUGUGCAUUUGUCUAGCCGCGAGAUAAAACAAACCCAGGUCAGAUGGCCCUGAGAAAGCACUUAGAUGAAAGAUGUGUCUAGAAGUAACAAAGACCUGAGCAAACCCUGGCCUUAUUUCAGCUUUCAAAACAGACCAGCAUCAGCAUCCAGAACCUAAAUACUGCAUUCCAGAUUGAAUUUUCAGCUUCAAGAAGGAAGACAAACCAUAAUAGGCCUCUAUCAUGGUAUGACAGGCUGGCGUGGGUUGGCUCUGAAUAGUCCCUUCAUGGGGAUGAGGGGCAGAUGACA